AGAGUUUGAUCCUGGCUCAGGAUGAACGCUAGCUACAGGCUUAACACAUGCAAGUCGAGGGGAAACGACAUCGAAAGCUUGCUUUUGAUGGGCGUCGACCGGCGCACGGGUGAGUAACGCGUAUCCAACCUGCCCACCACUUGGGGAUAACCUUGCGAAAGUAAGACUAUUACCCAAUGACGUCUCUAGAAGACAUCUGAAGGAGCUUAAAGAUUUAUCGGUGAUGGAUGGGGAUGCGUCUGAUUAGCUUGUUGGGCGGGGUAACGGCCACCAAGGGCGACGAUCAGUAGGGGUUCUGAGAGGAAGGUCCCCCACAUUGGAACUGAGACACGGUCCAAACUCCGUACGGGAGGCA
This 355-nucleotide ribosomal RNA is filed under the name uncultured bacterium. RNAcentral's name for it is "bacterial SSU rRNA". It matches the Rfam family "Bacterial small subunit ribosomal RNA", at positions 8 to 350 of the family's 1533-position model. The record is from RNAcentral.